This 67-nucleotide transfer RNA is filed under the name Pnyxia scabiei. RNAcentral describes it as "tRNA-Ser". The record is from RNAcentral. Lineage: Eukaryota; Metazoa; Arthropoda; Insecta; Diptera; Sciaridae.
GAAAUAUGGAAUCAUCAAAUAAAAGCUGCUAACUUUAAUUUAAAUGACUAAUAUCAUUUAUAUUUCU